RNAcentral lists this unclassified non-coding RNA (1712 nucleotides) under Hevea brasiliensis (rubber tree). Lineage: Eukaryota; Viridiplantae; Streptophyta; Magnoliopsida; Malpighiales; Euphorbiaceae. The record is from RNAcentral.
GAACAUUAGUCACCUUUUAUUACUCUAAAAAAGUGAAUUACUACUGUUCGUCCUUGGAAGUUGUUGAAAUAUAUUGAAAAAUGCACACGCAUAUUUACAUAGCAAGUAAAACAGAGAAUAAGCUGAACAUGAGGUUACAAUUACAACCAGCUACAAUAGCAAAACAGACGAGCACAAAAUUACUUCUUAGCAAGCAACUUCUUUGGAAGCAUUUCCAAAGGUGUGGUUUUGAGUAAGAAAAGCCUGGCUGCACGUUCUUGCAGGGUGCCUCCACACUUCAACCCACGCACUUGAAGUUCUGACUUUAACUUCUCCAUGCCGAGUACCUCCAGUUCCGCUGCUGAACUAAACUGCUCAAAAUUCAAAGGUUUUUCUAACUCUGAAUCCUUUGAGACUGCAUCUUCCUGAGGUUCUGAUAUAGGGCUUAGAUUAUUACUGGGUUUUGCAGCAUUGUUUUCUUUCACACCAGAGCUCCCCUCCACAACAAUUGGCUCAGAAGCACCAGAAGCUUCUUUUUCUGUUUGAAUACUUUCAAUCACAGAUGCAAUAUCAGUGCCAACACUAGAGGCAACAGCACUCUGCCCAGUAUUUUCUGGACUGUCUGGAGUGAGUGAGGACAGACUUUCACUUUCAUGGUGAACUGCAUUUACAUUGACAUCUUUACCAGGUUCAAGAUUCUUCAGAAGAAGAGUAUCCUUUUCUUCCUCGGAGCCACUCUCAGAUGCACCACCAUCAACUUUUCUGCCAGUUACAGAAUCCAAACUUCCCUCUGCUUCUCCAUUGGAGUCUGAAUUGCCCCCAUUAUCUAUGACGAUGGAUUUCUCUUUCUCUUCCUCUUCUUCAUCACAGUCAUCAUCAUCUAGAUCUUCGCUAUCACUAUCACCCAUUAUCCUCUUACCCUUCCAUAUCUUGAGCUUUUUGGACUCUGAUUCAUUGAGCUCAACCCCCUUCCUUUUAGAUGACACGAAUCCCUUGAGGGACUCCCUAACUGACCUAUCCACUUCCUCCAUACACUUAGCAGAAUCCUCCCUAUACUUCUGCACAUACUUAUCCGUGUUACUUCCAGUAGCACCCUUUUUACCUUUCUUCGCAGCUUCCUUUGCAUUCUUCUUAAGAAACUCAUCCGCCAUCUUCUCCAAUUUCCUCUCUUCUGCUUCUGCUCUCCACUCUUCCAGCUUCUUUUCCGCAUUCACAUGCCUCAACCUUCUACCACUCAUAUCCCUACACGCGUCAAAAUUAUUCGUCUUCUUCUGCCCUGCCUUGGUUGCCGCUCCUCUCAGCAAUGAACCAAAGCCUCCUUUACCACCCCUUAGCCGAAGCAACAAAUUCACCACAACCGGAAAAUUUCUCUUCUCCGGAGACAAAUUUGUGAGAUUUUCCGGCGACCCGAUAUUUCGGUUGUCGGGCAACCCGUUUGUGAGAUAUAGGGCUUGGUGGUCCUGAAGAGGGUAGAACGAAUUGAAAGGCAGUAAAAGCUGAAGGUGAGAAGGAAUUGAAGUUAGGCUCUGUAUUUUGUGCUUUAGGGUUAGGGUGGAGAUGGAUGGGGUAGUGAAAUUUAAGGCUUUGUGCUUUCCGUCGAGGAAUUUGACGAGAACUUGAUGAAUCACUAAUCCUUCAGUCAUCUCCAUUGUCGGUUGAUUGAUGCCGGUCGAUUGAUUUUGGUAGUGUCGCGCUUCUUCGCCGGCGAUUGAGAUUUGGGGGAAAGAGAAAUC